Dichotomopilus funicola is the source of this 82-nucleotide non-coding RNA. The record is from the annotation of a RefSeq genome assembly. Lineage: Eukaryota; Fungi; Ascomycota; Sordariomycetes; Sordariales; Chaetomiaceae.
ACCCCUUUGGUGUAGUGGUUAACAUAGCGGAUUCUCAGUGACACGGCUUCCGUUGCCCGGGGUUCGAUUCCCCGAAGGGGUG